Molecule: long non-coding RNA, 2745 nt
Filed under: Actinidia chinensis (golden kiwifruit)
Lineage: Eukaryota; Viridiplantae; Streptophyta; Magnoliopsida; Ericales; Actinidiaceae
Description: long non-coding RNA (ACHI_LNC002900)
Source: RNAcentral
AAUUGUGUAUGUUUUGUUCUUUUAGUUUCUACGCAGUUUAUCGGUUGGUUUGAUUUAUACAUUUUGUGCAUUUUUGAUUUGUGUUUUUGAAGUUGUCAAACUAAUUGUUAAUUGGUGGUUUUCAAUUGAAGCAAACAAAUUUAUUGACGGUUUCGCUGCCAAAUUGCCUGUGCGCACGACCAAGUUUAUUAGGUAACCAAACUUUUUUCUGAAACUUUUUUCUCUAUUUCUGCUUUGGUUUUUUUCUUAUCCAAACAUUGCUGAUCUGAAGUAUUUUUCUUUUCUUGCGUUUGGGUCUUUUGUUCAUGAAUCUGUUCAUAAAACUGAAGAAUCCUUGAGUUGGGUUUAACCCUGACAAGGAUCUGUUGAGUUUAGUUUGGUUUAGUUGAGUUAUUUCUUUCACUGCUGGGCUGUCUAAUGUAAGUUCUUUAGUUGAGUUAUUUUUUUUUAUUAUAUCUUUUUUAUUUGCAUUUUGUUUUGUUUUCUUCAUCUAGUUUCCUUACUUAAACCACAGUGGAGAACAUACUUAUGCUUUUUUAUGUAAAUGGAACCAAGGUUCUAAAAAAUCGCUAGGCUUUAAUCUGCGGCCGGAGUGGGCCUAGCGCCUAGGCGGCUAGGGCGGCCGCCAGGCGGGGCCUAGGCGGUUUUUUAUUAUUAUUUAUUUAUUUAUUUAUUUAAAUUCAUUAAUAUUUAUUAAAACUACUAUAAAAUGACCAAUAUCAAAUCUAAACCAAAAAAUUAUAAUUAAAUAGUAAAGUUCAAUGUUUAAUAUUUGAAAAUAAUACAAGAGGAAGAUAGAAACGAUAUUUAGUGCUCUAAAAUAUAUAAAAUUAGAAACUAGAUCUCUAACAGCACUAGGCGUUAAGCGGGCGGGCGGAGGGCCCAGUGCCCUGGCGGGGGCCUAGUCUCUAGGGUGCCGAGGGGGGCCUAGCUCCUAGGCGGGGGGGGGGGCCUAGGCGGCCUGGCGGAGGAUUUUAGAACAGAGAAUGGACGUGAUAUUUGGGCAAGACGGGGAUGGGGCUAUAUGUUUAUUGCAACCCGUUAAGUUGUGGCAAACUUGUUGAUGUUGACGAAUGUUUGAAUUUGCUAAACCGCUAAUCGUUGGGAUGAGAAUUUGUUUUGUUGCUAAACCCUUAAUCGUUGGCAAUUUAUGGUUCAUUGGAAGUAUAAAAGUUGCUGUUGAUUGUUCUUCUUUUCUCUCUCAUGAGUCAAGACCUUUAUUUUUGUUUUGCUUUUUUUUUUUGUUUUUUUUUUUACUUUUUUGAUUUGUCUUGAUUAGAGAAAUCAAAUAAAUUUUUUUUUAAAGUGUUUUUUUAAAGUAGAUUUUUUUGAAAGCAGUUUUUUUAACAGAACCAUUUUUUGGAAUAAUUUUUUUAAACAGAAAAUUAUUUUUGAAAUAUAGCUUCUUUUUUUUAAACAGUGUUUUAGAACAGUUUUUUCGAAACAGGUUUUUUGUUCCAGAAAAUUGUUUUUUUUUUCAACUAUUUUUUUUAAAUGCUAAAAACAUAAAAAAAUAAGUAAAGUAAAACAUGUUUGGGGUGAAGGUGAUAAAUAUAUAAUUGGAUUAAUUUUGUAGGUUGAGUUUGACUUUAAAUAAAUGGUUCGAGUUAGAUUUGACUUAUAAUCAUGCUGUUAAAUGGGUUACUAAUCAGUCAUCAAUUCAUUAGUAACCCAAGCCAUUUAUGACCCGCCCAAUAUUAACCUAACUCACCCAAUUGCCACCUCUACAUGAGAUGCUCUUAGAAUAAAAUGUCUCUAAGGCAUAGGUCUAAAAAAAGUAAUUAAUUAAAAUAAAAAAUAUAAUAGGAAUAAGAAUAUGAUUCACAUUGUUUUAAUUCAAUUGGAAUAAGAUUCACUCUGUUUGGGAUAAGUUUUUUUUUUUAAAGAUUUUAGUCACUUUUUUACUUUGUUUGGGAUACAUUAUUUUUUUUUUUAAAAAAAAUUAUUUGAUAUAUUUGAGAUUGGUGUACAAAAAAAAAUACUAUAUCUUUUUGGAUAUCCCAAACAACCUACUUGGCUUUUUUGUUCCACUUUACUUAAAAAAAAAAAUCAAACAAUUUUUUUUUUUUAAUUAUCCCAAAAGGGACCUAAAAAACAACCUAAUUCCCUCAUUCUAACAUGGCCCUUAUGAAGGCGAUAUUGGCAUUGGUGUAUGGAAACUAAAAAGACGGUAAAUAUAUGCUUUUGUUUCUAAAUUUUGAUUUUCCAGGUGUAACUUCUAUGAUUUUGAGUCUUUUUAGACAGUAGCCUAGAUGUAAUUAUCUACCACUCCUAUUUUGUUCUCAUCCUUAUCAUUUGUAGGUCAUGCGAGCCCAUGAUAUUUGAUGAAAGAUUUAAUUUUCUUUUGCCAGGUGUGACUCUCAUUUUGAAUAGAACUUCAUGACGGUUUCGUUGUUAGUGAAAGAAGCAGCUGGUGAACCUGGCCUCCACCGCACACAUCUCAGUUGGUGUUGUUUUUUUCUCAACGCUGAUAUUCUUUUGUUUAUUGGUUGGAUCACUCUGUGCAUCUUUGUCCUGUUUUUUUUAAUCUAUUAAUUUUUUAAAAAAUUGGAUCAAUUUGUUAGUUUUUGGAAGGGAUCGCUUGGUCCACUUGAUGCAUUUUCUAAUUCUUGCUGUUGCACACUGUGGUGUGGUUUGUCGAUUAGGUUUCUAUACUUUGUUUAUGAAACUUUGAUGUCAUUUUGUUGAUGAUGAUCAUACUUUAUACAAUUCACAAUUGAGAAGUGUUUAAAGACUUUCUGAGAA